GACGAACGCUGGCGGCGUGCCUAAUACAUGCAAGUUGAGCGCUGAAGGUUGGUACUUGUACCGACUGGAUGAGCAGCGAACGGGUGAGUAACGCGUGGGGAAUCUGCCUUUGAGCGGGGGACAACAUUUGGAAACGAAUGCUAAUACCGCAUAAAAACUUUAAACACAAGUUUUAAGUUUGAAAGAUGCAAUUGCAUCACUCAAAGAUGAUCCCGCGUUGUAUUAGCUAGUUGGUGAGGUAAAGGCUCACCAAGGCGAUGAUACAUAGCCGACCUGAGAGGGUGAUCAGCCACAUUGGGACUGUGACACGGCCCAAACUCCUACGGGAGGCAGCAGUAGGGACUCUUCGGCAAUGGACGAAAGUCUGACCGAGCAACGCCGCGUGAGUGAAGAAGGUUUUCGGAUCGUACAACUCUGUUGGUAGAGAAGAACGUUGGUGAGAGUGGAAAGCUCAUCAAGUGACGGUAACUACCCAGAAAGGGACGGCUAACUACGUG
Molecule: ribosomal RNA, 497 nt
Filed under: uncultured bacterium
Lineage: Bacteria
Description: partial 16S ribosomal RNA
Rfam family: Bacterial small subunit ribosomal RNA
Source: RNAcentral